UACGUAGGGUGCAAGCGUUAAUCGGAAUUACUGGGCGUAAAGCGUGCGCAGGCGGUGAUGUAAGACAGGUGUGAAAUCCCCGGGCUUAACCUGGGAAUUGCAUUUGAUACUCUGGAGCUUGAGUACGGGAGAGGAGAGUGGAAUUCCCAGUGUAGAGGUGAAAUUCGUAGAUAUUGGGAAGAACACCGGUGGCGAAGGCGGCUCUCUGGACCGUAACUGACGCUGAGGCGCGAAAGCGUGGGGAGCAAACAGG
This 253-nucleotide ribosomal RNA is filed under the name uncultured bacterium. RNAcentral's name for it is "partial 16S ribosomal RNA". It matches the Rfam family "Bacterial small subunit ribosomal RNA", at positions 524 to 776 of the family's 1533-position model. The record is from RNAcentral.